AGUCUUAAGUUUAAACUUAAAUUGCAAAUUUAAGAAUGCUUCGUAUAAGCUAAGGCUU
RNAcentral lists this transfer RNA (58 nucleotides) under Pseudosymplanella nigrifasciata. RNAcentral's name for it is "tRNA-Cys". Lineage: Eukaryota; Metazoa; Arthropoda; Insecta; Hemiptera; Caliscelidae. The record is from RNAcentral.